CGCGCAGGUGGUUUCCUUAAGUCUGAUGUGAAAGCCCACGGCUCAACCGUGGAGGGUCAUUGGAAACUGGGAGACUUGAGUGCAGAAGAGGAAAGUGGAAUUCCAUGUGUAGCGGUGAAAUGCGUAGAGAUAUGGAGGAACACCAGUGGCGAAGGCGACUUUCUGGUCUGUAACUGACACUGAGGCGCGAAAGCGUGGGGAGCAAACAGGAUUAGAUACCCUGGUAGUCCACGCCGUAAACGAUGAGUGCUAAGUGUUAGAGGGUUUCCGCCCUUUAGUGCUGAAGUUAACGCAUUAAGCACUCCGCCUGGGGAGUACGGCCGCAAGGCUGAAACUCAAG
This 340-nucleotide ribosomal RNA is filed under the name bacterium. RNAcentral describes it as "bacterial SSU rRNA". It matches the Rfam family "Bacterial small subunit ribosomal RNA", at positions 568 to 905 of the family's 1533-position model. The record is from RNAcentral.